Molecule: long non-coding RNA, 559 nt
Filed under: Marmota marmota marmota (Alpine marmot)
Lineage: Eukaryota; Metazoa; Chordata; Mammalia; Rodentia; Sciuridae
Description: lncRNA (ENSMMMG00000003114.1)
Source: RNAcentral
CCGGACUCGUCCACUGUGGACUGCGUGGGACCAUGGCCGAGUUGGCUGAAGAUUGUGGAUGGACGUGCGGAGGACCCCCACCCCACCCCGGGACUCACCACCGGACCGGACCCUUCUUCUCUACGUGCCUCUGGCCUCCUUCCAGGAUUGGGCUGAGACCCUCACCUGAAAUCCAGCGUGGGAAAGGACCCCAGCACCCCGGACACAGCACCCCAGCACCUUCCAGCCCUGAAUCCCUCCACAGCCACGGGGACGCCCUGCACACCUUCCCACGGGACAGGCCGGACCACGACUCUGGACCGGGGCCUCCCCUUGAGUAGAGACCCACUCUGUGACUGAUGGACUGCACUGACCUGGGGGUCACGCACAUGGGCUUGACCCCCAGUCACUCCCCACGAACCCUGAGACUUGGGGGAACUGCUGAGCUUCCAGUGUCCACGUGUGAAGUGGGCUGGGACACCUACCUCACAGGGCUGUUGUGAGGCUCUGCAUGAUGUGGUUCAGAAGCACAGGGCUUGCCACGCCCCCGGGCGCUCAAUAAAUGCCUCUUGUCUUCACA